This 431-nucleotide ribosomal RNA is filed under the name uncultured bacterium. RNAcentral describes it as "partial 16S ribosomal RNA". It matches the Rfam family "Bacterial small subunit ribosomal RNA", at positions 29 to 507 of the family's 1533-position model. The record is from RNAcentral.
AACGAACGCUGGCGGCAGGCUUAACACAUGCAAGUCGAGCGCCCCGCAAGGGGUGCGGCAGACGGGUGAGUAACGCGGGGGAACGUACCUUUUGGUUCGUAACAACUCCGGGAAACUGGAGCUAGUACCGGGGAAGCCCUAACGGGGAAAGAUUUAUCGCCGAAGGAUCGGCCCGCGUCUGAUUAGCUAGUUGGUGAGGUAACGGCUCACCAAGGCGACGAGCAGUAGCUGGUCUGAGAGGAUGAUCAGCCACACUGGGACUGAGACACGGCCCAGACUCCUGCGGGAGGCAGCAGUGGGUAAUAUUGGCCAAUCGGCUCAAGCCUGAUCCAGCCCUGCCGCGUGAGUGAUGAAGGCCUUAGGGUUGUAAAGCUCUUUUGUCCGGGAAGAUAAUGACUGUACCGGCAGAAUAAGCCCCGGCUAACUUCGUG